This 614-nucleotide ribosomal RNA is filed under the name Ochthebius marinus. RNAcentral describes it as "partial 16S ribosomal RNA". It matches the Rfam family "Bacterial large subunit ribosomal RNA", at positions 1819 to 2726 of the family's 2925-position model. The record is from RNAcentral. Lineage: Eukaryota; Metazoa; Arthropoda; Insecta; Coleoptera; Hydraenidae.
GUCUUUUUGAUUAUAAUUUAAAGUCUGACCUGCCCUAUGAUAUUUAAAUGGCCGCAGUAUUUUGACUGUGCAAAGGUAGCAUAAUCAUUAGUUUUUUAAUUGAAAGCUGGAAUGAAUGGUUGGACGAGAGAAUUACUGUCUCAAAUUAAUUUAAUUAGAAUUUUAUUUUUAAGUUAAAAAGCUUAAAUUUAUUUAAAAGACGAGAAGACCCUAUAGAGUUUUAUUUAUUAUAAAAUAUUUUUUUUUUAAUUUUAUUUAUUUUAUUAUAAAUUUUAUUGGGGUGAUAAAUAAAUUAAUUAAACUUUAUUUUUUUUAUUACAUAAAUUAAUGAUUUAUUGAUCCAUUAUUAAUGAUUAUAAGAUUAAAUUACCUUAGGGAUAACAGCGUUAUCUUUUUAGAGAGUUCAAAUCGAUAAAAAGGAUUGCGACCUCGAUGUUGGAUUAAAGUAAAUUAUUGGUGUAGAAGCUAAAAUAAUUAAGUCUGUUCGACUUUUAAAACUUUACAUGAUCUGAGUUUAAACCGGCGUGAGCCAGGUUGGUUUCUAUCUUUAAAAAAUUAAAAUAUUUUAGUACGAAAGGACCAAAUAUUUAUAAUAUUUAUUAAAUUUUGAAUAU